RNAcentral lists this ribosomal RNA (494 nucleotides) under uncultured bacterium. RNAcentral's name for it is "partial 16S ribosomal RNA". It matches the Rfam family "Bacterial small subunit ribosomal RNA", at positions 28 to 507 of the family's 1533-position model. The record is from RNAcentral.
GACGAACGCUGGCGGCGUGCUUAACACAUGCAAGUCGAACGGAAAGGCCUGCUUUCCCUUGUGGAUUGCGGGUACUCGAGUGGCGAACGGGUGAGUAACACGUGAGUGAUCUGCCCCCAACUUGGGUAUAAGCCUGGGAAACUGGGUCUAAUUCCCGAUAGGACUGCAGGGUGGUGCCUGUGGUGGAAAACGAUUUUCUAGUGGUUGGGGAUGAGCUCGCGGCCUAUCAGCUUGUUGGUGGGGUAAUGGCCUACCAAGGCGGCGACGGGUAGCCGGCCUGGGAGGGAGGACGGCCACAUUGGGACUGAGAUACGGCCCAGACUCCUACGGGAGGCAGCAGUGGGGAAUAUUGCACAAUGGGCGGAAGCCUGAUGCAGCGACGCCGCGUGGGGGAUGACGGCCUUCGGGUUGUAAACUCCUUUCGACCGCGAGGAAGCCACCUGGUUGGAAGGGUGGUGACGGUAGUGGUAGAAGAAGCACCGGCUAACUACGUG